UACACGGGCUUGCCAUUUGGUAAGUUAAAUGCACCUGUGAUAGGUUUUCCGGGUGUUGGCCAAAACUCAGGCAACAACGGGAAAAAAACAUUUCAGCUGAAAUGUGCCCGGGGUUAGUUCAGGGGAAUCCUUUUUGUCUACAAAGCGAGUAAGGAGAUGUAACGUGACCGUUUCAUGCAACCCUUACACAUUUUGAAUAUACCCCAUACAUAAUAUGUCCCACUUGUCAUGUUAAAUGUUAGCUUCAUUGCAUUUAACGACUAUCCUAUCUGACAAUAAUUCUCAUUUACUUCGCGUGACUACAAAAGUAUAUAUUUUCCUAAAUCAAACGAGAGUGGACGAUCAAUAGCCGACAGAGUACGAAAAGGCUUGUGGCUCGUCCGCAGUCUCGUUACUAGUUAGCCACGAUUCGAUCCAGCUCUUAGUAAGCUCUCAGCGCUUAGCACGCUCGCAGCUUCUUAACAAGCUCCCAGCUUCUAACAAUCUCCCAGCUCUUAGUGAGCUGUCAGCGCUUAGCACGCUCCCAGCUUUUAACAAGCUCCCAGCCCUUAGUGAGCUCUCAGCGCUUAGGACGCUCCGCUUAGGACGCUCAAGCUCACAGCCAGCUCAAUGCUCUUAGCCAGCUCCCACUAACCAAUCACUUUCCUCACAGCAAAUUUGAAUUGUGCAGAGCACAGUCACCAACCCGACGUCUGCCGAACCAACAGCUACCCGAUUACACCGAGGUGGCCAUAAUCCAAUUAGUGCAAGGCAAGCCACAUACACGAAAACUUCCGAACCGACAGCUAAUCGAUUUCCUCGACCUGACGGCCACCCGAUUACCAGAUCCGACCGUAAUUCGAGUAGUGAAGAACCGAUCCGAUUGCCACAGGGCCAAGUCACAUAUCCGACUACUGCCGAAUCGACAGCCAUCGAAGGGUACAGAGCCGAACCGUACGUCCACCACUGUAAACUGCCGCCUUCUUCAAAAAACCCUUUAGACUAGAGUCCACAACAGGCCUAUUCUGGCUUAAGUGUAUACCCAACAAUGUUGUGUAUUUUAAUAUCAUUGAUUGUUAUUUAGUCUUUUUCAAGUGCUAAGCUAUUUUAAUGGAAUAUUGAAGCGGUGUUGUCGCUGUCUUCUUUUACAUUAAUAUGUCUGUUUCUUGUAUACGUUUAUUAUUGUUGAUGUGUCUCUUAUGAUUCAUUUCAAGACAAGAUGGCAAAAUCUUUUGGCUUGGUCAUGUAGUGUUAACCUUGAUAUUUAACCUUGAUGCUGUUACCAUUAUGUUAUUAGUUUAUUUCCUUUUCUUAGAAAUAACCAUUUUGUGUCUUCUAUAUUUUGAACUUUAUCUUAUGAUGAUGAACAAUGAACCACCUUGCCACGUGCUAGCACAUCAGCCUGGAAAAUAUAUAGUUUAAGAGAAAUUAAUAAAAAGAAUAAGAAGUGUUUGAUGGAGACGGUCGUGUUCAUAGCUGCGUCGUAAAUAAAUAAAGAUUUAUUCUCCUUACGAGAGAAGCAAUAUCCUCAAGGCUGUGAACAUAUUCAAGAGACAAAACAAAACACAACUUUUUCUGCGAUUACUUGGUUUUGAAUCCGAUGUUUCUUUCUACGUAAACGAAGACUUAACCAAUAAAAACUACAAAAUUUUGCAACCUGUAAUUUCACUAAAAAAGAAAAAUAUGUUGUCGACUGCAUUCAUAAUACGCGGGCUUGUAUAUGUGAAAAGUGUUGAUAGGGAGAUCACAAUACGAAUUGAGUCUAUGGAGAAGUUGUUUACUUCCAAAGUCGAACUUUUCAGUAUGAUUCGAAUUUUUGCUAAACAAAAGGCAGGAUUCAAGUUGGUACAUAUAAAUGCCCAAAGUCUUAACAAUAAACUUGAUGAAUUUCGCCACAUUUAUGAUUUGUCAGGUGUUGACAUAAUCUGCGUCUACGAAUCGUGGUUCCAAUGUGACGUUCAAGAUGGAAUUUAUAAUCUACCUGGUUACACACUUUUUCGUGCAUUGCCAUUCGCAGGAGGCGCAUGGCAACAAAAUACCUAUUUCUGGAGGUUGUAUUAGUCUGCUCCCAAAAAAUGCUUGUUGGAGGCGAAUAACAACAAACAUAUGACCGUUUUACUGAAUGAACUAUCAUAGCUGGUGACUUUAACUACAAUCUACUUAU
Musca domestica (house fly) is the source of this 2143-nucleotide long non-coding RNA. RefSeq lists it as uncharacterized. The transcript has 3 exons. Lineage: Eukaryota; Metazoa; Arthropoda; Insecta; Diptera; Muscidae. The record is from RefSeq and is a predicted model, not a curated record.